UAGGAAUCUGCCCGGUAGUGGGGGAUAACCUGGGGAAACUCAGGCUAAUACCGCAUACGUCCUACGGGAGAAAGCAGGGGAUCUUCGGACCUUGCGCUAUCGGAUGAGCCUAUGCCGGAUUAGCUAGUUGGUGAGGUAAUGGCCCACCAAGGCGACGAUCCGUAGCUGGUCUGAGAGGAUGAUCAGCCACAUCGGGACUGAGACACGGCCCGAACUCCUACGGGAGGCAGCAGUGGGGAAUAUUGGACAAUGGGCGCAAGCCUGAUCCAGCCAUGCCGCGUGUGUGAAGAAGGCCUUCGGGUUGUAAAGCACUUUCAGUGGGGAAGAAAGCCUGGGACCUAAUACGUCCGAGGAAAGACAUCACCCACAGAAGAAGCACCGGCUAACUCCGUGCCAGCAGCCGCGGUAAUACGGAGGGUGCGAGCGUUAAUCGGAAUUACUGGGCGUAAAGCGCGCGUAGGCGGUCUGAUAAGCCGGUUGUGAAAGCCCCGGGCUCAACCUGGGAACGGCAUCCGGAACUGUCAGGCUAGAGUGCAGGAGAGGAAGGUAGAAUUCCCGGUGUAGCGGUGAAAUGCGUAGAGAUCGGGAGGAAUACCAGUGGCGAAGGCGGCCUUCUGGACUGACACUGACGCUGAGGUGCGAAAGCGUGGGUAGCAAACAGGAUUAGAUACCCUGGUAGUCCACGCCGUAAACGAUGUCGACUAGCCGUUGGGGUCCUUGUGACCUUUGUGGCGCAGUUAACGCGAUAAGUCGACCGCCUGGGGAGUACGGCCGCAAGGUUAAAACUCAAAUGAAUUGACGGGGGCCCGCACAAGCGGUGGAGCAUGUGGUUUAAUUCGAUGCAACGCGAAGAACCUUACCUACCCUUGACAUCGUGCGAACUUGGUAGAGAUACCUUGGUGCCUUCGGGAGCGCAUAGACAGGUGCUGCAUGGCUGUCGUCAGCUCGUGUUGUGAAAUGUUGGGUUAAGUCCCGUAACGAGCGCAACCCUUGUCCUUAUUUGCCAGCGGGUAAUGCCGGGAACUCUAAGGAGACUGCCGGUGACAAACCGGAGGAAGGUGGGGACGACGUCAAGUCAUCAUGGCCCUUACGGGUAGGGCUACACACGUGCUACAAUGGCCGGUACAAAGGGUUGCGAAGCCGCGAGGUGGAGCUAAUCCCGAAAAGCCGGUCUCAGUCCGGAUCGGAGUCUGCAACUCGACUCCGUGAAGUCGGAAUCGCUAGUAAUCGUGAAUCAGAAUGUCACGGUGAAUACGUUCCCGGGCCUUGUACACACCGCCCGUCACACCA
This 1290-nucleotide ribosomal RNA is filed under the name Halomonas sp. RNAcentral's name for it is "bacterial SSU rRNA". It matches the Rfam family "Bacterial small subunit ribosomal RNA", at positions 118 to 1404 of the family's 1533-position model. The record is from RNAcentral. Lineage: Bacteria; Pseudomonadati; Pseudomonadota; Gammaproteobacteria; Oceanospirillales; Halomonadaceae.